CAGCCGUAAACUAUGCUCGCUAGGUGUCAGGCAUGGCGCGACCGUGUCUGGUGCCGCAGGGAAGCCGUGAAGCGAGCCACCUGGGAAGUACGGCCGCAAGGCUGAAACUUAAAGGAAUUGGCGGGGGGAGCACAACAACGGGUGGAGCCUGCGGUUUAAUUGGACUCAACGCCGGACAACUCACCGGGGACGACAGCAAUAUGUAGGCCAGGCUGAAGACCUUGCCUGAAUCGCUGAGAGGUGGUGCAUGGCGUCAGUGACU
This 262-nucleotide ribosomal RNA is filed under the name uncultured archaeon. RNAcentral's name for it is "partial 16S ribosomal RNA". It matches the Rfam family "Archaeal small subunit ribosomal RNA", at positions 748 to 1008 of the family's 1478-position model. The record is from RNAcentral.